GUGGGGAAUCUUGCGCAAUGGGCGAAAGCCUGACGCAGCAACGCCGCGUGAGGGAAGACGGUCUUUGGAUUGUAAACCUCUUUCAGCAGGGACGAAAACAGACGGUACCUGCAGAAGAAGCCCCGGCUAACUACGUGCCAGCAGCCGCGGUAAUACGUAGGGGGCAAGCGUUGUCCGGAAUCAUUGGGCGUAAAGAGCGUGUAGGCGGCUCGACAAGUCUGGUGUGAAAUCUUCCGGCUUAACCGGAAGCGGUCACUGGAAACUAUCGGGCUUGAAUCCGGAAGAGGAGUGUGGAAUUCCUGGUGUAGCGGUGGAAUGCGCAGAUAUCAGGAGGAACACCAAUGGCGAAGGCAGCACUCUGGUACGUGAUUGACGCUGAGACGCGAAAGCGUGGGGAGCAAACAGGAUUAGAUACCCUGGUAGUCC
Molecule: ribosomal RNA, 426 nt
Filed under: uncultured bacterium
Lineage: Bacteria
Description: bacterial SSU rRNA
Rfam family: Bacterial small subunit ribosomal RNA
Source: RNAcentral